This 433-nucleotide ribosomal RNA is filed under the name uncultured bacterium. RNAcentral's name for it is "partial 16S ribosomal RNA". It matches the Rfam family "Bacterial small subunit ribosomal RNA", at positions 29 to 507 of the family's 1533-position model. The record is from RNAcentral.
AACGAACGCUGGCGGCAUGCCUAACACAUGCAAGUCGAACGAGACCUUCGGGUCUAGUGGCGCACGGGUGCGUAACGCGUCGGAACCUGCCUUUAGGUUCGGAAUAACUCAGAGAAAUUUGAGCUAAUACCGGACGAUGUCUUCGGACCAAAGAUUUAUCGCCUUUAGAUGGUCCCGCGUUGGAUUAGCUAGUUGGUUGGGUAAAGGCCUACCAAGGCGACGAUCCAUAGCUGGUCUGAGAGGAUGAUCAGCCACACUGGGACUGAGACACGGCCCAGACUCCUACGGGAGGCAGCAGUGGGGAAUAUUGGACAAUGGGCGAAAGCCUGAUCCAGCAAUGCCGCGUGAGUGAUGAAGGCCUUAGGGUUGUAAAGCUCUUUUACCCGAGAUGAUAAUGACAGUAUCGGGAGAAUAAGCUCCGGCUAACUCCGUG